UAAGCGGAGGAAAAGAAACUAACAAGGAUUCCCCUAGUAACGGCGAGGUUGAAGUGGGAAAAGCUCAACUUUGAAAUCUGGUACUUUCAGUAUCCGAAUUGUAGUCUCAAGAAGUGUUUUCUGUGCCGGUCCAUGUAUGAGUCUGUUGGAACACAGCGUCAUAGAGGGUGACAACCCCGUUCAUGACAUGGAUCCCGGUGCUUUGUGAUACACUCUCGAAGAGUCGAGUUGUUUGGGAAUGCAGCUCAAAUUGGGUGGUAAAUUCCAUCUAAAGCUAAAUAUUGGCGAGAGACCGAUAGCAAACAAGUACCGUGAGGGAAAGAUGAAAAGCACUUUGGAAAGAGAGUUAACAGUACGUGAAAUUGUUGAAAGGGAAACGAUUGAAGUCAGACGUGCGUGAUGCGGUUCAGCUUUAGUUCGCUAGAGUGUACUCCGUAUCUUUGCAGGCCAGCAUCGGUUUUGUUAGUCGGAUAAAGGUUUGAGAAAUGUGGCAUCUUCGGAUGUGUUAUAGUCUCAGACUGAAUACGAUUGAUGGGACCGAGGAACGCAGCGCGCCGCAAGGCAAAGGUUCCGACCUUUUCGCGCUUUAGGAUGCUGGUGAAAUGGCUUUAAACGACCCGUCUUGAAACACG
Molecule: ribosomal RNA, 632 nt
Filed under: Rhodotorula sp. RY-33
Lineage: Eukaryota; Fungi; Basidiomycota; Microbotryomycetes; Sporidiobolales; Sporidiobolaceae
Description: eukaryotic LSU rRNA
Rfam family: Eukaryotic large subunit ribosomal RNA
Source: RNAcentral